GCUUGGCCCCCUCUGCUCCCCUCCCCUCCGCUCUCUGCUGAUGGACGUUGAUCCCGGUCCGGAAUAAAACAGCUAUCCUGGUGAUUUAGCGAGGCAUUGCUGCCCUUGGAAAAGGAGGGGAAAUCGUAGCGCACUCCAGGAAUUAAUGGAUACGAGCACGGGAUCUGGCUGUUAUGGCAAAUACCGAUGCUCUUUGAGAAGAGGGAACAUUGAGUGCUAGCGCAAGAUGACAGCAUUCUCGGGCUCCUCGGUGAGAGACUCCAAAAGAUGUCCAGAUAAGGCUCUUGUAUCUUGGUGCCUGUGGAAACCACUCCAGAACCUGCAGAUUCCGUGGCAGGUACAAGCAGUGAGGACACCGGCUCCUGUUGGUGAUCUCCCUCCCCAUCCCUCCUGCUGUCCCCAGCAGUGCUGCGGCAGGAUUCUCCAGCCUGGCUGGACACCUCAGUGAAAUCUGCUUUGCAACAGACAGAUGAGGCUCUGGAGCAAUUUCUGCAGAGCUCUACUGCUCUGAUUCCUGGUGACAUCUCUGGGGCUCUCCCAGUCUGUAGCAGGGGCAGUUGGUCAGAACCAAGGUUCACUUUUCUGAUGAAGUACCAGGACCCCUGCACAUAACGUGCCAAAAGUCCGCAUUUCACAGUGAAACCUCAAUUGCCUACCACUGAGACGUGGAGGAAAUGCAACCUCUAAUCAACCUGCUGAGGACACCAUACCUGCAGGGUGCAGCUGCUGUAGUGACUUUUAUUAAGCUGGUUCACAGGGCACUCUCCCACCACACUGUGAUCCAGCCGCCUGCCCAGCUCUUGAGAGCCUCCUGCAACAAUACUGCUCUCCUCAUGGCCAGAGAUUUUAGCUUCCCAGGCCCUUUUUGUUCUUAGCUUCUCCCUUUUAUAGACUCCUCUUCCUCCAAACAUCAUGGACUACAGCUUCUCUCUCUGGAUGAGCAAUAUUUUCCUCUUCCAGAUGUUCCAUCUCUUUCAGACAAUCUCUGCACUAAAGUUUUAGGCACAAAUUUUGAAGGUCUUUCUUAUAUCUUUAGAAGACACCUGUCUGGCUCUUCUGCAUAUCUUCUGCAGCAAGCACAGUCGGCAGCAUCAUCUGAAUGCUGUAAGAUGUCCUGAGGUCAGGCCAGCAUCCCUGCUUGGCACGAGCCUUUGGCUGGUCUCACCAGGCUGCAUCAACGUUACUGGAGUUUCUGUACAGAGAGCUUAUGCAUCUUCACAGAUCCCCGUUCUCUGGUGUGUCCCAUGAGUCCUUAAAUACUUUAAAUACUUCUGCCACACAAACUAUGAAAAAGAAUCCAAAAACUGGCAUGUAGCUUCCACCAGCCUUCUGUCAAGCAGAUGUUCAGCUAUAGGAGUGUUGCAUGAGGCAUUGUACUGAUGCUGAAACUAAUUCCUCUUGCCUCCAAAUCACAAGAGGAGGUGUUAAAACCUAAAUAAAUAAAAAAUAUAUAUCCACUAGUCAAAAGAGAGAAGGGGGGUGGGGGGGGAGAGGAAACAUGCUUGUUAAAACUUCCAGACACCUUGGCAAUUAGUCUCACCAUGGCAUAAUCCUGAUGAGCUCUCACAUCUCCUAUUACAUUUGGUACAUAGUGUUUGUUAGCAUUUUACUCCAUCUGCUUCUAUACAAUCUCCAUCAGCCGAAGGAGGAUAUGGUUACUCCAGUCAUUAAAUAAAUGAGGGAAAAGGAUCUUUCCACAGGAGUUAGAAGGGCUCAUUGAAAGAGCUUUAAACUAGAUUUGAAGGGGGGGACUGAUAAAACCAGGCUCGCUAGAGAUAAGCCUGGGGGCUGCAUGCCAGUCUUUUAGGGACAGUGUGCUAGCGAGGUCCUUUGGUCUACCGUCUCAGUGGAGGUAGGGGAUGGAGAUCCCUGCAGCAGCAAAGACACAGGGGUUAUUGAUGUGUUAGAAACCACAGAAGUGCCUGAGAAUGGUCACAUAGGAAUUAGGGCUUCUCCGUCCAAAAAAAGGUGGCCGGAAUAAUAGCUCAGCUGAAGUGUACCUACAAAUGCAUGCAGCGUGGGCAACAAACAGGAGCAGCUGGAAGCCAUUGUUUAGCAAGAAAACUAUGAUAUAGUUGCCAUCACAGAAACAUGGUGGGAUGACUCACACAACUGUAGUGAUGCAGUGGAUGGCUACAAACUCUUCAGCAGGGAUAGGCAAGGAAGGAGAGGUGGUGGGGGGCCCUGUAUGUUAGGGAGUGUUCGCAUUGUCUAGAGCUUAAUGAUGGUGAUGAUGGGGUUGAGUGUUUAUGGGUAAGAAUCAGGGGGAAGGUCAACAAGGCAGAUAUCAUGGUGUGAGUCUGUUAUAGACCCAUCCAGGAUGAAGAGGCAGAUGAAAUAUUCUAUAAGCAGCUGGGAUCAGUCUCACAAUCGCUAGCACUUGUUUUCAUGGGGGACUUCACCUUACUAGACGUCUGCUGGAAAUACAAUACAGCAGAGAGGAAACAGUCUAUGAGGUUCCUGGGGUGUGUGGAAGAUAACUGCCUGACGCAGAUGGUGAGUGAGCCAGCUAGGGAAGGUGUCUACUAGACCUGUUGUUUGCGACCAGAGACGGACUUGUGGGUGGUGUGAUGGUUGGAGGCCAUCUUGGGCAUAAUGAUCAUGAAAUGAUAGAGUUUUCAAUUCUUGGAGAAGUAAGGAUGGGGGUCAGCAGAACUGCUACCUUGGACUUCUGGAGGGCAGACUUUGGCCUGUUUAGGACACUGGUUGACAGAGUCCCUUGGGAGACAGUCCUGAAGGGCAAAGCUGCCCAGGAAGGCUGGACAUUCGUCAAGAAAAUCUUAAAGGCGUAGGAGCAGGCUGUCCCCAUGUGCUGAAAGAUGAGCCAGUGGGGAAGAAGACCAGUCUGGCUGAACAGAGAGCUUUGGCUGGAACUCAGGGAAAAAAAGGGAGUUUAUGGUCUUUGGAAGAACGGACAGACAACUCAGGGGGACUACAAAGAUGUUGUGAGGUUAUGCAGGGAGAAAAUUAGAAGGGCCAAAGCCCAGCUAGAACUUAAUCUGGCUACUGCUGUAAAAGACAAUAAAAAUUUUUCUAUGAAUAGAUUAGCAACAAAGGUGGGGUAAGGAGAAUCUGCAGCCUUUAUUGGAUGUAGAGGGUAAACAUAGUGACAAAAGCUGAGGAAACAGCUGAGGUAAUUAAUGCCGCCUUUGCCUCAGUCUUUAAUAGUUAGACCACCUCCUGGGCUGGAAGACAGGGAGCAGAAUCCAAGGGGAAAUAGUGACCUGCUACACCACUUAGACUCACAAAUCUAUGGGGCCAGAUGGGAUCCACUCAAGGGUUCUGAGGAAGCUGGCUGAAGUGCUCACCGAGCCACUUUCCAUCAUUUAUCAGCAGUCCUGGCUAACCAGGGAGGUCCCAGUUGACUGGAAGUUAGAAAAUGUGACACCCAUCUCCAGGAAGGGCUGGAAGGAGGAUCCAAGGAACUACAGGUCUGUCAGUCUGACCUUGGUGCUGGGGAAGGUUGUGAAGCAGAUCAUCCUGAGUGCCAUCACACGGCACGUACAGGACAACCAGGUGAUCAGGCCCGGUCAGCAUGGGUUUAUGAAAGGCAGGUCCUGCUUGACUAACCUGAUCUCCUUCUAUGACAAGGUGACUCGCUUAGUGGAUGACAGAAAGGCUGUUAAUGGUUGGACUUGAUGAUCUUAAAGGUCUUUUCCAACCUAAAUGAUUUGAUUUGAUUCGAUUUGAUUUGAUUCGAUUUAAUUCUAAUGAUGAUCUCUGUUGCUUGUGGUAAGUAUCUGUUAUGUUAACUCUUACUUUUCCUCCUCACACUUGGAGGUAAUGCUUUUUCCCCCACUAGCACCCAGGUAUUUGCUAAUAAUAAAAUUACUCCUCUUUUUAUUAAGAGGUCUAUACCAGCAUGACUUGCAAGUUCAAUAAAAUAUGUUGGCUAG
Molecule: long non-coding RNA, 3896 nt
Organism: Grus americana (Whooping crane)
Lineage: Eukaryota; Metazoa; Chordata; Aves; Gruiformes; Gruidae
Exons: 4
Source: RefSeq, a predicted model, not a curated record